AUGGCGACCUCCAUCGCUGACAAGAGCAACGGCCGUGUCAACCACCGUACAAUGAAUCAAUUCAGGCGCUUCAUUGCCGACUCGGCCUUGCGCGAUAUCUACCUCCAUGGCCGAAGAUUCACUUGGUCCAACGAGCAAGACAACCCCACGCUCGUGCGCAACGAUCGUGUUCUAUGCACACCCUCGUGGGAAAUCAACAACCCCAACCACAUGCUCCAUUGCCUCGCUUCGGCGGCCUUCGACCACUGUCCACUCAUCCUUGACUGUUCUCCCCGCGAGCGCGGCCGGCCGCGCUUCCACUUCGAGCGAUUUUGGACCAAGCUUGAGGGCUUCCACCAUACCGUUUCCACGGCCUGGCACUCCGAGGAGCCCGACCCGGACCCAUUCCGGCGAAUCUACGCGCGCCUAAAGGCUACGGCGCGCGCGCUCAGGAGCUGGAGCUCGCGCUCGCUCGGCGACAUCUCUACGCAGCUCCUGGUUUCCCGCGAACUUAUAUAUCGCCUCGACCUGGCACAAGACAAGCACACUCUUUCUGCCAGUGAAGCCUGGCUCCGGCGGGAGCUCAAACGCAAGUACUUGGGUCUGGCCUCUCUUGACCGCUCCAUUGCUCGUGAGCGGGCUCGCUUCUCCUGGCUCAAGGAGGGAGACACCAAUACGGCAUUCCUCAAAAUCCACACCGCUCAUCGACGCCAAAAGAGCCACAUGACAGGGCUGCAUCAGGACGGCCACUUUGUCAGCGAUCUUCCUGGCAUGGCUCGGGCUGCGUUCGACCACUUCACUGCCACCAUUGGAUCCCAGUCCACGCGUGAUCACGCGCUCAACCUGCGCCUGUUCGAUCAACGCUGCUUCGACCUGCUACCGCUUGAUGAGCCUUUUUCCGAGGACGAGAUAUGGAAUGCAAUCAAGGCCCUGCCGCUUGGCAAGGCGCCGGGACCGGACGGCUUCAUGGCGGAAUUCCUACGCUCGUGUUGGGCCAUCGUCAAAGACGACAUAUGUGCCGCUUUCGACAAACUCUACACUAUGAAGGGCAUGGGAUUUCGCAAACUCAAUGAGGCUCUACUCAUCCUACUGCCCAAGAGACAAGAUGCAUCGACCCUCGCGCAUUACCGGCUGAUCAGUCUUAUACACCUCAUUGCCAAGCUCUUCGCCAAAGUCCUCUCCCUCCGGCUAGCGCCGCGUCUCCGGGAGAUGGUGUCCAUGAACCAAAGUGCGUUCAUCGCCGGAAGGAGUGCGCAUGAUAACUUUCUUCUCGUCCAACAAAUGGCCCGGCUCCUCCACAACCUCAAGGCACCGCGCGUUCUUCUUAAAUUGGACAUCGCCAAGGCAUUCGACAUGGUGGCGUGGCCAUUCCUCCUCGAGACGCUUCGACACUUGGGGUUUGGCAUGCGUUGGUGUGAGUGGAUUUGGAUCCUCCUCUCCACUGCUUCGACUCGUGUUCUCCUCAAUGGCACCCCCGGACCGCCGAUCGCUCAUGCCCAAGGGCUGCGCCAGGGUGACCCGGUGUCCCCCAUGCUGUUCACCCUGGUGAUUGACAAGCUUAACUCGCUCCUCGAGCAUGCCACGAACCAAGGAAUCCUCCAGCGGCUGACCACGCGCCACGCCGCAUCCAGCAUAUCCAUGUUCGCCGACGACGUGGUCAUCUUCUGCCACCCCGACACCCAUGAGCUCUCCGCCAUCAGAAUGCUGCUCGACACUUUUGGCAACGCCUCCGGUCUUCGAACCAACUUCCUCAAGUGUUCCGCUUCACCCAUCAGAUGCGGCGACAACCACCGCGACACCAUUGGCGCCUCCCUCUCCUGCCCGCUGGCGGAAUUUCCCAUCAAAUACCUAGGGCUACCGCUCUCAACUCGCAAAGUGCCGGCCUCCGCCCUCCUUCCGCUUGUUGACAAGCUUACCAUGAAGCUCGCAACCUGCAAAGCCUCUCUGCUAUCCCGUGGCCAGCGGCUUGCUCUUGUCAGACAUGUCCUCACCGCCAUGCCUGUGCAUAUCCUGUUAGCGCUAGCGCUACACCCAGCGACCCUCAAGAAGGUCAUCAGGCUCAUUCGAGAUUUCCUUUGGCACGGCAACAAGGAUGCCCAUGCUGGUUGCUGCAUCGUCUCUUGGCAAAAGGUAUGCCGUCCCCUCGCGCUUGGUGGACUGGGGAUCCGCGAUCUGCACCGUACUGGCGUCGCCCUCCGCACCAGGUGGCUAUGGCUGCAGCGAACCGACCCUGACCGCUCCUGGAAGCAUCUCCACCUCCCGACCGAUCACGAGGCCUCUGUGCUCUUCCGUGCUUCCACGACCUGGACCAUCGGCAAUGGCAACACCUGCAAGUUCUGGCAGGAUCACUGGCUCAACGGGCACUCCAUCCCCGAGAUUGCUCCUACGCUUUCUGCCCUCAUUCCGAGGCGCCGCCGAAGCCAACGCCUUGUCAGCGACGCUCUCAACAACAGAGGCUGGAUCGCCGACAUCCAAGGCACCUUACACCCCUGCGCGGUCAUCGAAUAUGUCGAGCUAUGGAGGCUGCUCCAAACUAUCCAGCUCUCCAACGAACCCGACAAGCUCUCCUGGAAAUGGACGGCCGAUGGGAGCUACUCCGCGCGUUCAGCCUACCACGCGUUGUUCAUCGGCGCCACCACCGCACCAUUCUGGCGCCCCAUCUGGAAGACUUGGGCUCCUUCCAAUGCGAAGAUCUUCCUCUGGCUUGCCUCUCUCAACAGAUGCUGGACCGCCGACCGGAGAGCGCGCCACAACCUUCCUCAUGACCCCAUUUGCAAGCUGUGCAGCCAAGACAACGAGACACUGCACCACCUCCUCGUCGGCUGCGUCUUCUCGCGCAUCAUUUGGCACGACAUCAUGGCAUGGUUCCGCAUUCCCGCCCUUCCCCUUGAUGGCGCUUCCAGCUUCUUCGACUGGUGGAUGGCAACGACGGCCAGCGUGCCAGCCUGCCUCCGCAAAGGGACGAACUCCAUCAUCAUCCUCACCUCUUGGGCACUUUGGAAGCAUCGCAACGCAGCUCUCUUCGACAAUGUUGCACCCUCCUACAACAAACUUGUCGAGGACAUAAAACAGGAGGCGAAACUAUGGGCAAGAGCCGGCGCCAAAGGGCUCGGUAGGAUCAUUUCUGUAACAUAA
This 3114-nucleotide ribosomal RNA is filed under the name Triticum aestivum (bread wheat). Its description in RNAcentral is "partial small subunit ribosomal RNA". The record is from RNAcentral. Lineage: Eukaryota; Viridiplantae; Streptophyta; Magnoliopsida; Poales; Poaceae.